GUUGCCAUUUCCUCCUCCAGGGGAUCUUCCCAACCCAGGGAUUGAACCCUUGUCUCUUGACUCUUCUGGAUUGGCUGGUGGAUUCUUUACCACUAGCACCAGCUGGGAAGCCUACAAUUAAAUAUACUUUUCUUUUUACUUUGCCUGGAUCCAGAAAGGCUUUAAGGGAGAUGCUAACUACAGCCUAGUCUUGGACAGACUGACUGGACUACUGAUGAAACUCUGAAUGUCAGGCGCAUGCAGAGCUCAUCUUCACAGAAAACAGCUGCAAAGCUUUCUUUAUACUAAAGUCACAGGUGAUCCUAGUCCACUGGUCACCAGGGAGUCUUGUUUCAGCCUAGGCAGCCACAGAAGCUUGUAGUAUCCUUGAUGAGAAUUCAGUCAAACCUGGGGUGGGGGCAGAGUUGUUAGACAGCAAUAUAUUGAAUGAACCAGACCCUUUUUCUUGGGAUGUUUAAGAAUGAAACACACAGAGACCCAUCUGAAGGGGGUGGAAAAACUAAAAGAAAGAGAGAAAAGGAUGCCAGCCAAAGCUAAGAUGAGGAAAGAAGAAAAAUCAGCUGAAAGAGCAUGUAAAGAGAUGACUAGAAACCUCAUCUCCCAAUUCUUUGGUCUUCUCUUCAUAGAAUGGAGCAGGACGUGA
RNAcentral lists this long non-coding RNA (643 nucleotides) under Capra hircus (goat). RNAcentral describes it as "lncRNA (ENSCHIG00010005343.1)". Lineage: Eukaryota; Metazoa; Chordata; Mammalia; Artiodactyla; Bovidae. The record is from RNAcentral.